UGAGCACAAACACGAGCCACCCGUUACCUGUUUCUACGAAAACUGUUUCCUUCCCUCCUCCCCAACUGUCUUUCUGUCCCACACUUGUCCCUGUUCACCUGUUCUCCAUCACCACUCUGCUUCCAGGAAGUUGCAGCCACCUGCAAAAGCGGCGUAGCAUCACCUCGCGAGCUGGAUUUAACGGGCGUGGAGACGUUGUUACCCAUGUAACAUCCAUCAGCCCAGUCUCAGCGGCGAGGAAGAGCUCCAGCACCGCUCAGGUCCCUGCAAUGGAGAUACACAGGCAGAGAGGGCAUGGCAAGAGACGGAUGCACGCAGUGAACCGGGGACUCCAGGCCGCGAAGUCCGGCCCCGACGGAGGGCUUCAGAUGAGCGCUACUCAGGUGGCAGCUGGGAUGGUCAGACUGGUUGGUUUGCCCCCUGCAAACUGUCUGCUAUUGGUCCGCAAAACUUGAGAGCAAGCAUUUGGAAACCUCAAAGUAAAUUUGUCCUUGCUGUGACACCCAAGCAAGUUGUCAAUAAGCUCAUCUCCUUGAACAGGGUCUAGACCGAUUCGGAUGUUGUCAGACUCACAAGGUGAAUCGCGCGGCGCGGCCUGCUCAGAAGGACACAGGCCAGUCUGCCUGGAACUGGAAAAUCCCCACCGUCCUCCCACAGCUGGUCUGAGAAGACUGCAAGAGCUGGAGCAGAGGGCGCCGCGCUGGGUCCUCAGGGAUGGCUUAGCUCGUGGGGGCGGUAAAGAGGACAAAAAAGCCCAGAGAGGCUGUGUAACCUGCCAAAGGUCACCCAUCCAGGAAGCGGCAGAGUCGGCGGCGAUCCUGUCAGUUUUAAGGAUGGUACCCCCCCUUGAGGGCGCACACGAGUGCCUCCACUCCUGAGCAAAACGUCUCACAGCCCAUCAGCAGCGUAUACUGCCAAGCCGUGGGCCUGGUCUUAGCGAGAAAGGACCCUAAAGGCUGCCCCUCUGCCGCCCAGAGAGAGCAGUAGGAUUCAACGCGGACUGAAAGACAAGAUACCGUGGAGAAGACACGAAUCCUGGCACCCUGGGCCCCCUCUGCCUUGCCCUGCUCCUCCUGCCCUGAAACUGGCAAAACCAGUGCGAAGGAGGGAACCCCGGGCUGCCAUCAAGGCUCCCCACGGUCCUCCCUGGGGGCUAAAGCACCUGUACCCGCGCCUUGAGACCCCCCUAGCUUCUAAGAAGUUUCUUGCCCCUUUGUCUCCUCAGCCUGGAUCCUAACCUUGCGCUGGCGAUUUUCUCCCCAGCUCUGCCCGGAAUCCCUCAUGAAGCAACACGCUGCCGUCCUG
Molecule: long non-coding RNA, 1305 nt
Organism: Chinchilla lanigera (long-tailed chinchilla)
Lineage: Eukaryota; Metazoa; Chordata; Mammalia; Rodentia; Chinchillidae
Exons: 3
Source: RefSeq, a predicted model, not a curated record